AGCGAACGCUGGCGGCAGGCCUAACACAUGCAAGUCGAACGAACCUUUCGGGGUUAGUGGCGGACGGGUGAGUAACACGUGGGAACAUGCCUUUAGGUUCGGAAUAACUCAGGGAAACUUGUGCUAAUACCGAAUGUGCCCUUCGGGGGAAAGAUUAAUCGCCUUUAGAGCGGCCCGCGUCUGAUUAGCUAGUUGGUUGAGGUAAUGGCUCACCAAGGCGACGAUCAGUAGCUGGUCUGAGAGGAUGAUCAGCCACAUUGGGACUGAGACACGGCCCAAACUCCUACGGGAGGCAGCAGUGGGGAAUCUUGCGCAAUGGGCGAAAGCCUGACGCAGCCAUGCCGCGUGAAUGAUGAAGGUCUUAGGAUUGUAAAAUUCUUUCACCGGGGACGAUAAUGACGGUACCCGGAGAAGAAGCCCCGGCUAACUUCGUG
RNAcentral lists this ribosomal RNA (434 nucleotides) under uncultured bacterium. RNAcentral's name for it is "partial 16S ribosomal RNA". It matches the Rfam family "Bacterial small subunit ribosomal RNA", at positions 29 to 507 of the family's 1533-position model. The record is from RNAcentral.